Molecule: ribosomal RNA, 481 nt
Filed under: uncultured Pelagibacterales bacterium
Lineage: Bacteria; Pseudomonadati; Pseudomonadota; Alphaproteobacteria; Candidatus Pelagibacterales
Description: bacterial SSU rRNA
Rfam family: Bacterial small subunit ribosomal RNA
Source: RNAcentral
GAUGCAGCGAUGCCGCGUGAGUGAAGAAGGCCCUUGGGUUGUAAAGCUCUUUCGUCGGGGAAGAAAAUGACUGUACCCGAAUAAGAAGGUCCGGCUAACUUCGUGCCAGCAGCCGCGGUAAUACGAAGGGACCUAGCGUAGUUCGGAAUUACUGGGCUUAAAGAGUUCGUAGGUGGUUAAAAAAGUUGGUGGUGAAAUCCCAGAGCUUAACUCUGGAACUGCCAUCAAAACUUUUUAGCUAGAGUAUGAUAGAGGAAAGCAGAAUUUCUAGUGUAGAGGUGAAAUUCGUAGAUAUUAGAAAGAAUACCAAUUGCGAAGGCAGCUUUCUGGAUCAUUACUGACACUGAGGAACGAAAGCAUGGGUAGCGAAGAGGAUUAGAUACCCUCGUAGUCCAUGCCGUAAACGAUGUGUGUUAGACGUUGGAAAUUUAUUUUCAGUGUCGCAGCGAAAGCGAUAAACACACCGCCUGGGGAGUACGAC